RNAcentral lists this ribosomal RNA (253 nucleotides) under uncultured bacterium. RNAcentral describes it as "partial 16S ribosomal RNA". It matches the Rfam family "Bacterial small subunit ribosomal RNA", at positions 524 to 776 of the family's 1533-position model. The record is from RNAcentral.
GACAGAGGGUGCAAACGUUGUUCGGAAUUACUGGGCGUAAAGCGUGCGCAGGCGGCCUUGCAAGUCGGGCGUGAAAUCCCACGGCUCAACCGUGGAAGUGCACUCGAAACUGCUCGGCUAGAGUCUUGGAGAGGAAGGCGGAAUGCUUGGUGUAGAGGUGAAAUGCGUAGAUAUUAGGAGGAACACCGGUGGCGAAGGCGCCUGACUGGACGAUUACUGACGCUGAGGCACGAAAGCGUGGGGAGCAAACAGG